Non-coding RNA from Comamonas testosteroni CNB-2, 110 nucleotides. The record is from Rfam. Lineage: Bacteria; Pseudomonadati; Pseudomonadota; Betaproteobacteria; Burkholderiales; Comamonadaceae.
CACCCCGAGGAGCGCUGCAGCCGGUCAUCCCAGAGAUGUUUGACCCGUCAGGCUCGGGGUCGCAGAUCUGGUUGACGAUCUGCUGGCACUCACAACGGCGCUCACCUGUU